RNAcentral lists this transfer RNA (73 nucleotides) under Loxodonta africana (African savanna elephant). It matches the Rfam family "tRNA". From Rfam's summary of the family: Transfer RNA (tRNA) molecules are approximately 80 nucleotides in length. Their secondary structure includes four short double-helical elements and three loops (D, anti-codon, and T loops). Further hydrogen bonds mediate the characteristic L-shaped molecular structure. tRNAs have two regions of fundamental functional importance: the anti-codon, which is responsible for specific mRNA codon recognition, and the 3' end, to which the tRNAs corresponding amino acid is attached (by aminoacyl-tRNA synthetases). tRNAs cope with the degeneracy of the genetic code in two manners: having more than one tRNA (with a specific anti-codon) for a particular amino acid; and 'wobble' base-pairing, i.e. permitting non-standard base-pairing at the 3rd anti-codon position. The record is from Rfam by way of RNAcentral. Lineage: Eukaryota; Metazoa; Chordata; Mammalia; Proboscidea; Elephantidae.
CCCUGUGUGGUGCAGCAAUUAACACAUUCAGCUGCUAACUGACAGGGUGGAGGUUUAAGUCCACCCAGAGGUG